Erinaceus europaeus (western European hedgehog) is the source of this 1438-nucleotide long non-coding RNA. RefSeq lists it as uncharacterized. The record is from RefSeq and is a predicted model, not a curated record. NCBI's taxonomy places the organism in Eukaryota, Metazoa, Chordata, Mammalia, Eulipotyphla, Erinaceidae. The transcript has 4 exons.
GGCUUUUCUUUUUCAAGCUUUUGGACAUGGCAGUGGGAUGAGUCGCCUCGGCUCCCAAAGGAGCGGUCCCUUUGGGAUAGGGGAUGGUUGGAGAGUGCAAAGUAGAAAGAGAAUAUUUUCAUAACUCUGGUUUUCCACAUCCAUCUUUUACAGGGAAUGAAGAUUACUAAUGAUCAGUGAAGUCUUCCUAGAUACUGAAGAGGAAGAAGUCAUUCUAGCUCAUAGGAAUCCUUAAUUCCACUUCAGACACCAAGUUGCAGAUGCUACCAUGACGGCAACCUGACUUCCCCCAGCAGACAAAUUCACCAGUGUACCCUGGAACCCCAUCUCUCUGGAGCCCUGCCCCACUAGGGAAAGAUAGAAACAGGAUGGAUUGACUUGCCAAUGCCCAUAUUCAGCGAAGAAGCAAUUACAGAAGCCAGACCUCUAAACUUCUGCACCACAUAAUGACCCUGGGUCCAUGCUUUCAGAAAUAAAGAAUAGGAAAGUGGAGGGGAUGGUAUAUGGAACUCUGGUGGUGGGAAAUGUGUGAAAUUUUACCUCUCUUAUCCUAUGAUUUUGUCGAUAUUUUAUAUUUUAUAAAUAAAUUAAACAUUUUGAUUGGCUUAAAUAUGAUAGCUUUCCUGUGAGUGCUAGAGCAAAUUGAUGAAGGAACCUAGAUUUUUUUCCUUUAUGCUUUUUGUUACAUGAAAAAAAAUAAAAUGCAUUUCAAGGUUAAGCUAUAAAGUUGAGCUUUAUUUCAUAUAUCUAAAUACAUCAUAAUCAUUCAUGUCUACUAACUUAGUAAAAUUAUCCAUUUUAGGAUUUAUCAUAGGGACUCACAUAUAGCAUGAGAAAAUCUCAGAAGCAUAGCACUUUAUUCAUCGUGUAUUUAGACACUGAUCAUUCAUAAUCUUAUUUACACUAUGAUUUUCUUAAUAAUGUAGGUGAGCCCUGUUACUCUCUCAGUGUGAUCAUAAAUGUGCAUAUGUACUCAAAAGUUGAUUUACUGUGAUAUUCAAGCCUAGUUAUUUUCAUCUAUUUUGUUAGUCUCACCAUUCUCUGUUUUCUAAGGGAAUGGACCCUAAUAUAGCCUAUUAAAAGCAUGUAAUGCAUUACACCUGUUCCAAGUUUCACCUCCUGUUUUCUCUUUCCUUAUUUCUUAAGUUCCGCUUAUAAAUGAGAUUAGUUUUUAUUCUUUCUCCUCCUUCUGGAUUAUUUUACCAUGAUUCCUACAAAUUCCAUCUAAGAUGUGUCAAAGGAGACGAUUUCAUUAUUUCUUACAGCUUAGUAAUAUUCUACUGUGCGUGUAAUCACAGCUUUCUUAAUCACUCAUCUGUCCUUGAGCAUGUGGGUUGCUUCCAGGUGUUAGCUAUUAUAACAGGGCUCCUGAAGUCAUAAGUGUACUUGAGUUAAUGGGGCAAUAGUAGAUACCUAUCAUGGGGAGAUAUGAAAUUGU